GGGGUUGACGCUAGGCGAAGAGGGGCGUAGGCUCGGGCCCUCGUGGCCCAGGUUCAAAUCCUGGCGGCCCCA
This 72-nucleotide transfer RNA is filed under the name Candidatus Geothermarchaeota archaeon ex4572_27. Its description in RNAcentral is "tRNA-Pro". Lineage: Archaea; Thermoproteati; Candidatus Geothermarchaeota. The record is from RNAcentral.